ACAGAACACUGUAGGUAAGGGAG
RNAcentral lists this non-coding RNA (23 nucleotides) under Cricetulus griseus (Chinese hamster). The record is from RNAcentral. Lineage: Eukaryota; Metazoa; Chordata; Mammalia; Rodentia; Cricetidae.